UACGGGGGGGGCAAGCGUUGUUCGGAAUUACUGGGCGUAAAGGGCUCGUAGGCGGCCAACUAAGUCAUACGUGAAAUCCCUCGGCUUAACCGGGGAACUGCGUCUGAUACUGGAUGGCUUGAGUUCGGGAGAGGGAUGCGGAAUUCCAGGUGUAGCGGUGAAAUGCGUAGAUAUCUGGAGGAACACCGGUGGCGAAGGCGGCAUCCUGGACCGAUACUGACGCUGAGGAGCGAAAGCUAGGGGAGCGAACGGG
This 253-nucleotide ribosomal RNA is filed under the name uncultured bacterium. RNAcentral describes it as "partial 16S ribosomal RNA". It matches the Rfam family "Bacterial small subunit ribosomal RNA", at positions 524 to 776 of the family's 1533-position model. The record is from RNAcentral.